RNAcentral lists this unclassified non-coding RNA (323 nucleotides) under Hevea brasiliensis (rubber tree). The record is from RNAcentral. Lineage: Eukaryota; Viridiplantae; Streptophyta; Magnoliopsida; Malpighiales; Euphorbiaceae.
ACCGAAUAAGUAUUUGAGAGAGGUGAUUCGACAAGCCAUGACACACAUGUAGCUUAUCAAGGACAUGACCCAAGAUAGGAGGAUAUGGAGGUCAAGAAUUUGGGUGAAAGGUUAAUAGGUAGUCGAGCUUGUCGAGUUCUCUUUAUUUGUACUGUCCUAUUACCUUUUUCUUCGAUUUUAAUUUUUACCUAUUGUGUCUUCUGCUUCGUUUAUCGUACUAUUUGUAGUUGAUGCUACUUUUCUGCAUUAUUUUCUAUAUAGUUUGUUCACUACUAUACUUUCUUUUCUUUACUUUACUUUACUUGAGCCGAGGGUCUAUCAAA